UUUUUCAAAUGUGGGGUAGGCGCGUGCCUGUGAUUCUAAUGAUUCCGUGCGUGCGCAUGCGCGUCCUCGUCUCUCUGCGCGUCUGGUCUGGAGUUUAUUCAUCAACGCACUACAACUUCAGUAUUAUUCGCGGUUAGAGGACACACGUCACGGUUUAAAAGGACAAUCCUGACUGAUGAGCGGCUAAAUGGAUUGAGACGGUCCGUCGAGAGAAAGAAUAGGAGGAGAGAGAUAGAGGAUGAAUGAUCCAGCUAAUCCAGGCCAAUCCCAGCCGUGCAGACUCCUCUGGAGCCACACACAAAACACGGCGGAUCACAAUCUGAUGUGCUUUAGACGGACUGUUUGGGAGAAGUUCUGCAUCAUGUAAAUCUGAAGAAGUCACUAAUGAGUUAACAGUGAGAUUCAGUGAUUCUUUUAAAAUGAUGGUGACAUGCAAAAAAUUUUUGAAGAUAUUUUGUGUAUGAAACAUAUUUUUUUCUACUUA
Long non-coding RNA from Carassius gibelio (silver crucian carp), 484 nucleotides. RefSeq lists it as uncharacterized. The transcript has 2 exons. Lineage: Eukaryota; Metazoa; Chordata; Actinopteri; Cypriniformes; Cyprinidae. The record is from RefSeq and is a predicted model, not a curated record.